GACGAACGCUGGCGGCGUGCCUAAUACAUGCAAGUAGACCUGAGUUGCGAACGGGUGAGUAACGCGUAGGAACCUGCCUCAUAGCGGGGGAUAACUAUUGGAAACGCUAGCUAAUACCGCAUACUUUGAGAUGGACCUGCGUUGUAUUAGCUAGUUGGUGGGGUAAAGGCCUACCAAGGCGACGAUCCGUAACUGGCCUGAGAGGAUGAGCAGCCACACUGGGACUGAGACACGGUCCAGACUCCUACGGGAGGCAGCAGUGGGGAAUCUUGGACAAUGGGCGAAAGCCUGACCCAGCAAUGCCGCGUGUGUGAAGAAGGUCUUCGGAUUGUAAAGCACUUUAAGUUGGGAGGCGUUACCUACAGAAUAAGCAACGGCUAACUUCGUGCCAGCAGCCGCGGUAAUAC
RNAcentral lists this ribosomal RNA (407 nucleotides) under uncultured bacterium. Its description in RNAcentral is "partial 16S ribosomal RNA". It matches the Rfam family "Bacterial small subunit ribosomal RNA", at positions 28 to 526 of the family's 1533-position model. The record is from RNAcentral.